Molecule: long non-coding RNA, 11144 nt
Filed under: Triticum aestivum (bread wheat)
Lineage: Eukaryota; Viridiplantae; Streptophyta; Magnoliopsida; Poales; Poaceae
Description: long non-coding RNA (TAES_LNC001013)
Source: RNAcentral
AGAAGUGCCAGCUACUGAAGCAAAAAAAAGGACCUGAUACACAUUGUAAUCAAUGACUGCUGAUAUACCUGAUGCAUUUCUUCAUGAUGGUCGAUUUCCUUUCACCGGAUCUUACAUGUUUAAUUAUGUGUGCUCGGAACCAAAAACUGAUUGAGAUCUUCAGUUCUUACUUGCAGAUGUUCUUUUAUUCAGAGUAAUUCAGUUUCCAGUCUCUAUGUAUUAAUCAAAUUAUGGGUUAUUUUCAACCAUAUAGACUUUUAUUAUAUGUUCAGUUAUGCUUCCAUGGGUUUUGCAUAUGUAUUAACAAAACAACCAGACUGCUAUUACGUAUAUAGUUGGAUCAAAGGGUGUACAAUUAAUUUGCUCUGACGAAAGGAAUGAGUAGGCAGCUAGCAGAAUGGGAGGACAAUCAUGACAAGCGAACGAACAGAUAAAUAGUAAUCCCACAAUUUUUACAACUGCAUUCCACUUUAAUUUGGUAUGGACAUGCAUUUUUAUCCUUGGAGUACUUUGGAUUUUAAGUGGGAAUCAUUGGUUCUUUUCUUCUUAAUAUUUUACUUCUUAUAAUUACAAAUACCAAUUUUAGAGAAUUGAGCUCGUACUUAAAAUUCAAUUGAAUAUGAAGCCACUGCCCAUUGUGUGAAAGAAACAAUUAUAACAUUGUACUCUAACAAAUCACACAUAUAGAGAAAUGUUAUUUUCGAGUCUCCUUAACCUACUGAUCUUUUUUUAGAUAUAUGAAACUUUCAUUUGUUUUCUUAAUUCUUCUGCAAUGCAGGUGAUAUUCCUUGGUUGCUGCUGACGCUAAAAAAAUUACUCCUGAAGCACUAGAAGUGCCCUCUCUAUGGCGCAUCACUCACUAGAUCCAGAUGGGCAACAUUCCGCUUCAAGAUUAAAGAGUACAGUUUUUGCAUGCUAUCAUUGCUUAUCCAAGAGUAAUCUACCAUGUGCCUAAUUGUUAUGACCGGCCAUGUCUAUGGCCGCCGCAGGCCCAACAGGCAGUCUUAGGCCCGCAAGUUACCUUAGUUUUAUUCAGAUUAGGCAAGUUAUCUCAGGAUUGAUUCUUCUACAAGUUAUCUAGGAUAUAAAUAUAGAUUGUAAGACUCUUUUGGAUGGAAGCAAUAAAGACUAUUAUUAUCUUUUGUUGCCCGGCUCCUAGAGGAGCCGGAAACCCUAGCUGCCGCAACCUAGCUGCCACCGCCCUCAACCCUAGCCGCGACGGCACCCUGCCGCUGGCGCGCCCGCUCCUCGCCGCGCCCACUUCCUCUUUGCCCCUACAACCUACGCAGUAGAGCCGGUAGGAACCCUAGUCCUACCAAUUUGGUAUUCAGAGACCACGUUGUGAUCAUGUCGAUGCCGCCAUCACCGCCGCCGCUGCCCGUCCGCACCACCGCGCCCAUGACGACGGCGCCAAGCAUCACCGCGCCGACCGCAUCCGCCGGGACCUCGCUGGCGUGUCCCGUCUCCUCCUCGGCACCUCCUGCACCGGCGUCUCCGGGCGCAUCUCCACCACCACCGCUGGCCGCCUUGUCUCCGGAGCAACUCGCCGCCAUGCUACAUCACCUCGUCACCGUCGUCCACGGGCUUCAGCUCCACCAGCAAUAUGGGGCCGGCGCCUAUGCUCAACCGCCAUCGGCCCCGAUCGCCGCCCCUGGUCUUCUCCUACAGCAGCAGCCGCAGUACGGGGGCGGGGCGAGCCCCUUCGCGCCACCACCAGGAGCGUACCAGGGCGCGGCCGCGUACGGCGGGCCCCUGUUCGGGCCGAUCCAGGCGAGAUUGGCAUCCGGGCCAGCGCCGGCCGCGGCGCCCCUCUGGCCUUUGCCGCCGGCCACCUCGGCCGCCUCCUAGCUGCAGCAGCCGCCACCCACCGUCUGGCCGGUUCAGCAGAUGCCGUUCCUCGCAUGGCCGGCCCAGCAGCCGCCGCCGACGGCGUCCCAGGGCCUGCGUCCACCGCCGUUCUCCGCGCCCUCAUCAGCCGGGACCACCUCGGGCACGGCCUCGACUAUCGGGUUACUGAUCCAUCAGGUCCAGUUUCCCCCUUCCCCGUCCCCCCCUGCCAGCAUGGGCGGCGGGGUCUUCGCCUUCACCGGUCCACACCACGACCCCGGUUGAGCCGACUCCGUUUCCGCAGUUCGGCAGGCCAUCCGGCCCCGCCGGCCAGUACCCGGACUACUCCGAUCAGGCACCUCCGGCUUCACUCUUCCGAGCCCCCGCGCCUGCUCAGCACGGCGGGCCGCAGCAGACACCGCCGCUGUUCGCCAAACUCGACUUCGCCACCUACGAGGGCACGGAGGACCCCCUCAACUGGCUCAACCAGUGCGAACAGUUCUUUCGAGGGCAGCGGACACUCGCUUCAGAUCGUACCUGGCUCGCGUCCUAUCAUCUUCGAGGCGCAGCACAGACCUGGUACUACGCCCUCGAGUAGGACGAGGGCGGCAUGCCACCGUGGGAGCGCUUCCAGGAGCUCUGUCUUCUCCGUUUUGGGCCUCCUAUCCGCGGGAGCCGACUGGCGGCCCUCUGUCGUUUACCAUUCACAUCUACGGUGCAGGACUACGCCGAUCGCUUCCAGGCCCUGGCAUGCCACGCGCCGGGCGUCUCCGCGACCCAGCGCGCCGAGCUCUUUGUGGGCGGUCUGCCGGACCAUAUCCGCGUGGACGUCGAGCUCCGGGAUCCCCCCGAUCUCCAGACGGCCAUGUACUACGCCCGGGCCUUCAAGCAGCGGGUCCAGGCACUGCAGCCGCCACUCGGACGGAGUGGCCGCCAGCCCAGUCGGCCAGCACCAACUUCCUCAGCCCCGGGUCGGCCUCUCCCAUCCGCGACGGCCACAUCCCCGGCUGCCACACGGCCCUUCCGUCGGCUGUCACCGGCCGAGCAGCAGGAGCGUCGCCGUCAGGGUCUCUGCUUCAACUGCGAUGAGCCCUACACACCGACCCAUGUCUGCCCCCGCCUCUUUUAUUUAGAGACGGUCGACUACACCGAGGAGAACGACUCGCCCGAUCCGUUACAUCCGCCUGCGGCGCCCGAGGACGCGGCCGCGGAUUCCGCAGCGACGGCGUGCGUCGUCUCCCUUCACGCCCUGGCCGGCAUCCGGGGCGAGCAGACCAUGCUGCUGCCGGUGACGAUCCAUGGCGAGCGCCUGGUGGCCCUGCUAGAUACGGGCUCCACACACAACUUUCUGCCCGAAUCGACCAUGCGUCGGCUAGCCCUCCCGACGACGGGCGAGGAGCGCCUGCGGAUCACAGUGGCGAACGGUGAUCGCCUCCGGUGCCAUGGGCUAGCCCGCGACGUUCCCAUCUCCAUCGGCGACGAACACUUUUCCAUCACUUGUGCAGGGAUCGAUCUCGGCUGCUUCGACUUCAUCCUCGGGGUGGACUUUCUCCGGACCCUCGGCCCCAUCCUAUGGGAUUUCGAUGCACUCAUGAUGACAUUCUCGCGGCAGGGACGCCGCAUCCGAUGGGAGGGCAUUGGGGGCGCCGCGGCUGCCGUGCCACAUCUCCAGCUGGCUGCCGCGUCCUCGGAGGCUGAGCACCCCCUGCUGGAUUCUCUUCUGGAGCAGCACAGCGACCUCUUCGACGCUCCACGGGGUCUUCCACCUGCCCGGGUGUACGACCAUCAUAUUCACCUCAUACCAGGCUCCAGUCCGGUGGUGGUACGGCCCUACCACUACCCCCAGCUGCAGAAGGAUGAGUUGGAGCGCCAGUGUGCCCUGAUGCUCGCCGCACGCAUCAUCCGGAUCUCCACGUCACCCUUCACGGCGCCGGUGCUUCUCGUCCGUAAGUCCGACGGCACAUGGCGCUUCUGCAUCGACUACCGCGCCCUCAACGCACUCACGCUCAAGGACAAGUUCCCUAUACCGGUGGUCGACGAGCUCUUGGAUGAGCUCCAUGGGGCACGCUUCUUCACCAAGCUCGAUCUUCGGUCGGGCUAUCAUCAGGUGCGCAUGCAUCCGGACGACAUCGCCAAGACGGCGUUUCGCACCCACCAUGGCCACUUCGAGUUCUUGGUGAUGCCUUUCGGCCUCGCCAACGCCCCGACGACUUUCCAAGCCCUGAUGAACGACGUCCUUCGACCCUACUUACGGCGGUUUGUGCUUGUUUUCUUUGAUGACAUUCUUAUCUACAGCGCCACCUGGGCCGAACAUCUCCAGCACGUCGCCAUCGUCUUCAACGAGCUUCGGGCGCACCACCUCCACCUUAAGCGCUCAAAGUGCUCGUUCGAGACACCUACCGUCGCCUACCUCGGCCAUGUCAUCUCGGCCGACGGAGUGGCUAUGGACGCCGAUAAGGUGGCGGCCGUCUCCGCCUGGCCGACGCCUCACUCACCGCGGGCUCUCCGCGGGUUCCUCGGACUCGCUGGCUACUACCGGAAAUUUAUCCGGGAGUUCGGACUCAUCGCGGCGCCCCUCACGCGGUUGCUUCGCCGCGACGCCUUCGCCUGGGACGCUGAGGCGUCGACGGCAUUCGAGGCCCUCAAGGGGGCCCUCACGACGGGCCCCGUCCUCCAGAUGCCCGACUUCGACCGUCCGUUCGUGGUGGACUGUGACGCCUCGGGCACCGGGUUCGGCGCCGUACUUCAUCAGGGCGAUGGGCCCCUCGCCUUCUUCAGCCGGCCUUUCGCUCCGCGCCAUCUUAAGUUGGCCGCUUACGAGCGGGAGAUCAUUGGCCUCGUCCAGGCCGUGCGUCAUUGGCGGCCAUACUUGUGGGGGCGGACCUUCCACAUUCGCACGGACCACUACAGCCUGAAUUUCUUCCUGGAUCAACGGCUGUCGACCGUACCGCAGCACCAGUGGAUCAGCAAGCUCUUCGGCUUCGACUUCUCCGUCGAGUAUCGGCCGGGCCGUCUUAACACCGUGGCCGAGGCGCUAUCCCGUCGCGAUUCCGACCUCGCGCCAACCGCCGACGCGUCCGUCGGGACGGCCCUGUGCAUCCGCUUCGGGCCAUCGUUCGGUCUCUUCACCGACAUUCGACGCGCCACUGCGACGGCCGAUGACGCCGCACUUCUUCAGCAGCAGCUCACGGUCGGCGACUUGGAGGAGCCCUGGCGCUUCUCUGACGGACUGCUCCUGCAUGUACGCCGGAUCUUUGUUCCGGCGCAUGAUGAUCUCCGUCACCAGGUGUUGCAGCUCGCUCACUCGGCGGGCCAUGAGGGUGUGCAGAAAACCCUCCAUCGUCUUCGCGCCGACUUCUACAUCCUUGGCGAUCGUGCCCUGGUCCGCGACUGGGUUCGGUCUUGUCAGACUUGCCAGCGCAACAAGACAGAGACCCUGAGACCGGCGGGGCUCCUUCAGCCCUUGGAGGUGUCGUCUCAGGUUUGGGCGGAUAUCUCCUUGGACUUCAUCGAGGGCCUUCCCAAGGUAGGGGGCAAGUCAGUCAUCCUCACGGUGGUCGAUCGCUUCUCUAAGUACGCCCACUUCAUCGCGUUGGGCCAUCCGUACACAGCGGCAUCCGUGGCCCGGGCUUUCUUUGACGGCAUAGUCUGUCUACACGGGUUCCCGACGUCGAUCGUCAGUGAUCGGGACCCAAUCUUCACGGGCCAUGUCUGGCGCGACCUCUUCAGGAUGGCGGGUGUCCAGCUCCGCCUGAGUAUGGCGUUCCAUCCUCAGACGAACGGUCAGUCUGAGGUGGUUAACAAGGUCAUUGCCAUGUAUUUGCGUUGUGUGACAGGUGAUCGACCUCGCUCUUGGGUGGACUGGCUAUCUUGGGCGGAGUACUGCUACAACACUUCUUAUCACUCCGCCCUGCGCGCGACGCCAUUUGAGGUGGUCUAUGGUCGACCACCCCCGCCUAUACUUCCGGUCGACCCGAAGACGGCUCGGACAGCAGUAGCGGGUGACCUUAUCCGCACCCGUGAUGAGAUGCUGGCUGAGGUCCUUCAGCGUCUCCUUCAGGCCCAGCAGACGGCCAAGCACUACUACGACGAUCAUCAUCGCGAGGCGGAGUUCGCAGUGGCUGACUGGGUGUGGCUGCGUCUUCUCCACCGCUCUACGCAGUCACUGGACACGCGCGCAAAGCGCAAGCUUGGCCCUCGCUACGCCGGGCCCUUCCCUGUCGUGGAGCGCAUUGGGAAGGUGGCCUAUCGUCUUCAGCUUCCAGCCCGCGCCCGCAUCCACGACGUGUUCCAUGUGGGGCUGCUCAAACCUUUCCGUGGCGAGCCACCGGCGGCACCUCCGACGCUUCCUCCAACCGCCGAUGGUCGCAUUCUUCCAGAGCCAGCAAAGGUGUUGCAGGCUCAGCUCCGUCGUGGCGUCUGGUUCAUCCUAAUUCAGUGGGCGGGCCUUCCGGAGGAAGAGGCGACUUGGGAGCAGCGUGAGGAUUUCCGUCAACACUAUCCAGACUUUCAGCUCGAGGACGAGCUGUUUGCGCAGGCGGGGAGAGAUGUUAUGACCGGCCAGGUCUAUGGCCGCCGCAGGCCCAACAGGCAGGCUUAGGCCCACAAGUUACCUUAGUUUUAUUCAGAUUAGGCAAGUUAUCUCAGGAUUGAUUCUUCUACAAGUUAUCUAGGAUAUAAAUAUAGAUUGUAAGACUCUUUUGGAUGGAAGCAAUAAAGACUAUUAUUAUCUUUUGUUGCCCGGCUCCUAGAGGAGCCGGAAACCCUAGCCGUCGCAACCUAGCCGCCACCGCCCUCAACCCUAGCCGCGACGGCGCCCUGCCGCCGGCGCGCCCGCUCCUCGCCGCGCCCACUUCCUCUUUGCCCCUACAACCUACGCAGUAGAGCCGGUAGGAACCCUAGUCCUACCACUAAUAUAUAUACAUGAUUGUUGCACCAUCACAAGAUUUCCAUUAUAUACAUGGGCAUAACUUUCUUUACUGUGAAUUAAUCGACACGAUGCUUCUGUUUUAAGGAAUGGCAAUGCUAAAUUCUACAGUGGUACACUCUACUCUGUCGAAUGUUUACAAACACCACAAAGCUAGAGAUCUAUUGUGGAAACCUUUCUUUCUUUUGUUUGUUAUAACUUCUUAGUGUAAAAAUAAAUAUGGCUUGUCCAUUACGAAACAAAUAUGUAAGAUUUAUUACUUUUCAAAGCUGAAUUGUUCCUGACAAUUACACAUGAGAGUGCAAAGGUGAGAAGCAAAAAUUUGAAGCACGGAACAAAAAAUUCACAAACCAAUGCAUUUAGUAACCAUCGUGGUUCUUACAGGUCCUUUGCAAUCCAAAUUCCAGUUCUAUGACUUGCAAGGAAGGAUGAAGUCCAUGUCAUGAAAAUUUUAUUAUGUGGUCGCUGCCUCCUCCAGCCAUGGAUUUCAAAGGUACGCAGAUUCACCUACAACAUGCAUAUGGGAGAACUUGCAGAUCUGAAGGAAUCAAGCAUCUAGCUAAGGUGCCUGUAGCCACGAUCAGUGCUCCAUCGAGCAAUUUCUUAGGGCUGCACAGAUGCAACAACCUGGUAGAUAGGAUCAUCCUCUAUCAAAAAUAGCCAAAGGAAGAUGUCAGCAUCAGAGAUCCCAUAUAGGCCAGGAUAAUGUCAAAAUAUCUUGGCAUGGGCACGUGGCUCAUAGCCUGAACUUGAGACCGUUUACUCCAUGCUCGUGGUGGAGGCCUAGUCUCGACGGGGGCAUGGCAGUGGCGUGCGUUAGGAUUGGAUUCCGUCGAAGACCUAUGAUUGAUUUUCUAGCUGAGGCUGCGUGCGUGAGGGCUGGAGAGUCGGUUGUAGCCACGGGAUUCUGGCGGCGGCAGCGUGCGUGAGGGCAGGGGAGUCUGUAGCCCUAUUAUGUUUUUCUUCUUUGAACGAUGGACUCAGGUAAUGGGAAAACUAAUCUAUGGCAUGACCCUGUAUAUCUUAUCUUCUUUUCAUCAUGGAGUCAAGGUUUCUAAAAAAAUUAUGGCAUUGCUGAAUCGUAGAGUCAGGUGAAAGCUAUUUUGACGCAUCAUAUGCUUUAGUAGGAGUUAUCUCUACCUCUCUAUCUCUACCUAAUCUCUACCUAAUAAUAAUAAAGCAAAUUGGGUUUCUGCUUGUCCGUCAUUAGCAUUUUUUCUAAAAAGCCCCUCCCUUUUUUAGUAUUUAACACGCAGUAUAAUUUAAAGUCUGUUUCUUCCUGAGAUAAUGAUUCGUUUUUUGCAAAAAGGACCCCGGCACCACCACCACAGCCCCGCCUUAUCCACUGCCGGCCUUCACAAACGGGCAGCGGCGCGCUUGCCGCGGCGUCCGCUCCGCCCGAGCCCAGUAAUGGGGCGAGGCGUCGCGGCGGCGUUCCUGCACGCCUUGUCGGCCUUGGAGCUAGCCUUGGCGGGGGCGGGCCGAGGCGUCGCGGCGGAGGACGUUAAGCAGACGGGCACGCGCCGCCGGCGCGCUUGCCGUGGGCGUCCGCUUCGCCCGAGCCCAGGAGUGGGGCGAGAGGUCGCGCCGGCGUUCCUACACGCCUUGUCGCCCUUGAAGCUGGCCUUGGCGGGCCGAGGCGUCGCGGCGGAGGACGACAAGGCGGCCGGCGUGCUCUGUUGGGGCGACGCGUCGCGGCGCUCCGGCUCCAGCAGAUGACGGCAGAGAGCCAGGUGUGGCUUUGUGUCGCCAACAGCCACGAGGUCAUCGGCGCCGGCCACCGUGCCAGGCUGGACCAGCUGCUGCAGCCCCCCUGCGCCGUUGCCGUCGCCGUGGCACAAGAAGCGCGAGUUCCCCCUCGCUAUCGGAGGCUGGGUGUCGUUCUCUAGUGCAGAUUGUCUAAUUGAGUUUUUGAAAGCGUCGUCCACGUCUGCACUUCAUGGGUCCAUACACUGGGAACUCACGCCUGAGAACUUCCUGCUCACCAGAUUGGUUUCAGUUUCUCUGUCUCCAUCGAAGAAGGUCAGCACUUUGCCUCGAACAGUUUCAUGAUUACACUCAUGACAAGAUUUACAGUACAGUAGUCUCAUGCGUUGAGCUCAUAAUACUGCAGUACGGACAUACAUUUUCCAAGCAUAAAUUAAUGCAGAAGUUAUUGCAACAGGAGGGCCUCUAAUUGUAAUUCAUAUACACAUUUCAGCUCAAUAACCAUAUAACGCAUCUUGCCCGAGUUUGAUACUUCCGACUAUUUCCAUGUCUUUCGGGUCAAAGUUAAGUUAGCUCUAUAUACGAGCAGGCAUUUUAUUCUUUGGGAGCAAGCAAGAAUCAAUAUAUUCUCUCGCAAUAUUAUCUCCUCCUUCCCCUUGUCUUCCUAAUCCCCUGCAGAUGGCAUGACUAGGUAGGUUCAUAACAGUUGUUGUAACUAUCCGUCCGGUCAUGAAUCAACAAUUACAAUUGUUUUGACUUCUACGAUCAGUUCAGCUGCCUAUGUUGUACUGCCGCUGCCAUUUAAAGAUUUAAGUUGUCAGGUGGAUAUAGGUUCCAUUAGAUUGAAAGUAAUGAAAUUUUAUUUGCCAACCUGGCUGCACUUUGUGAUGCUUUAUCUAUGUAUAUACUUGAAGUUCAAAUGUGAUGUAUGCUUUACUCCUUAUUUGAUACUUGCAUUUGUCGCAAGCACCUUGCUGUUCUGAGUAAUGGUUGAUAUCUUACAUUUAGCCGAGAAGCUGAAAACUUACGAGUUGGAAAACCUUCUAGAUAUACCUAAAAAGACCUUGAAGAUAUCUUCUACUAGAAUGGACGAGCUGAUUGACUGGCGAUGGAGAUGCAGCAGUGACCUGCAAUUCUUUCUGUUGUGGAUGGUUCAUUUUGAAAUCUUUUUUAUAUCUGACAAGACACAAGAAAACAACAAUCUAUCCUGUUAUAUUUACCACUAUCAUCUACAGUGAGUGCUAAGUUGCCCAUAAAUUUUAGUUGACUUCUGUUCAGAGUGAUCUGAAAAAUAGAUAGCAAAAAAGAUUAGUGGGUAUUACAUUUGGAUUAGUUACAUUUGGGCAAAUAAAUGAGUAGAAGUCAAUUUUGUUUGCUUCAUGUUUCACUUCUUUGAUCUCUUCAUCAUUCUCAUUUUGUUUCAUUGCUUACCAUUUGUUCGCAUUUUUUUCUAGCAGUGGCAAGCAUGGUUAGGGCGAGCAACGAGGGUUCCUGUAGUGCAUAACCAUUUCAAGUCGCCCAUGUUCUAAAGAGAGAUCAGAAGUGCCAGCUACUGAAGCAAAAAAAAAGGACCUGAUACACAUUGUAAUCAUGGACUGCUGAUAUACCUGAUGCAUUUCUUCAUGAUGGUCGAUUUCUGUUCACCGGAUCUUACAUGUUUAAUUAUGUGUGCUCGGAACCAAAAACUGAUUGAGAUCUUCAGUUCUUACUUGCAGAUGUUCUGUUAUUCAGAGUAAUUCAGUUUCCAGUCUCUGUGUAUUAAUCAAAUUAUGGGUUAUUUUCAACCAUAUAGGCUUUUAUUAUAUGUUCAGUUAUGCUUCCAUGGGUUUUGCAUAUGUAUUAACAAAACAACCAGACUGCUAUUCUGUAUAUACUUGGAUCAAAGGGUGUACAAUUAAUUUGCUCUUACGAAAGGAAUGAGUAGGCAGAUAGCAGAAUGGGAGGACAAUCAUGACAAGCGAAGGAACACAUAAAUAGUAAUCCCACAAUUUUUACAACUGCAUUCCACUUUAAUUUGUCAUGGACAUGCAUUUUUAUCCUUGGGGUACUUUGGAUUUUAAGUGGGAAUCAUUGGUUCUUUUCUUCUUAAUAUUUUACUUCUUAUAAUUACAAAUACCAAUUUUAGAGAAUUGAGCUCGUACUUAAAAUUCAAUUGAGUAUGAAGCCACUGCCCGUUGUGUGGAAGGAACAAUUAUAACAUUGUACUCUAACAAAUCACACAUAUAGAGAAAUGUUAUUUUCGAGUCUCCUUAACCUAAUGAUCUUUUUUUAGAUAUAUGAAACUUGCAUUUGUUUUCUUAAUUCUUCUGGAAUGCAGGUGAUAUUCCUAAUGGUUGCUGCUGACGCUAAAAAAUUUACUCCUGAAGCACUAGAAGUGCCCUCUCUAUGGCGCAUCACUCACUGGAUCCAGAUGGGCAACAUUCCGCUUAAAGAUUAAAGAGCACCAUUUUUGCAUGCUAUCAUUGCUUAUCCAAGAGUAAUCUACCAUGUGCCUAAUAUAUAUACAUGAUUGUUGCACCAUCACAAGAUUUCCAUUAUAUACAUGGCCAUAACUUUCUUUACUGUGAAUUAAUCGACACGAUGCUUCUGUUUUAAGGAAUGGCAAUGCUAAAUUCUACAGUGGUACUCUCUACUCUGUCGAAUGUUUACAAACACCACAAAGCUAGAGAUCUAUUGUGGAAAC